Molecule: ribosomal RNA, 688 nt
Filed under: uncultured bacterium
Lineage: Bacteria
Description: bacterial SSU rRNA
Rfam family: Bacterial small subunit ribosomal RNA
Source: RNAcentral
AUAACACUUAAAAAUAGGUGCUAAUACCGCAUAAGCGCACAGUCCCGCAUGGGACAGAGUGAAAAACAUUAGUGGUGUAAGAUGGACCCGCGUCUGAUUAGCUUGUUGGCGGGGUAACGGCCCACCAAGGCGACGAUCAGUAGCCGGCCUGAGAGGGUGGACGGCCACAUUGGGACUGAGACACGGCCCAAACUCCUACGGGAGGCAGCAGUGGGGGAUAUUGGACAAUGGGGGAAACCCUGAUCCAGCGACGCCGCGUGAGUGAAGAAGUAUUUCGGUAUGUAAAGCUCUAUCAGCAGGGAAGAAAGAAAUGACGGUACCUGAGUAAGAAGGCCCGGCUAACUACGUGCCAGCAGCCGCGGUAAUACGUAGGGGGCAAGCGUUAUCCGGAAUUACUGGGUGUAAAGGGAGCGUAGACGGUAAUGCAAGUCUGGAGUGAAAGGCGGGGGCCCAACCCCCGGACUGCUCUGGAAACUGUGUAACUGGAGUGCAGGAGAGGCAGGCGGAAUUCCUAGUGUAGCGGUGAAAUGCGUAGAUAUUAGGAGGAACACCAGUGGCGAAGGCGGCCUGCUGGACUGUAACUGACGUUGAGGCUCGAAAGCGUGGGGAGCAAACAGGAUUAGAUACCCUGGUAGUCCACGCCGUAAACGAUGAUUACUAGGUGUAGGUGGGUAUGGACCCAUCGGUG